Long non-coding RNA from Acanthopagrus latus (yellowfin seabream), 450 nucleotides. RefSeq lists it as uncharacterized. The record is from RefSeq and is a predicted model, not a curated record. The transcript has 2 exons. NCBI's taxonomy places the organism in Eukaryota, Metazoa, Chordata, Actinopteri, Spariformes, Sparidae.
UUAUUCCGUGACGUUGAGGAUCUGUGAGGACAGUCCUUGGUGCCAGUUCUUCAGCUUGGCGAAGCGGGGCCCCUUCACCUCUGACUCAAACUUCUCUCUGAUGGCGUGCAAGGCGGGAAAAAGGCCGUUACAUCAGGUCCACGUCGGAGGAGCCGGUGUGUACUUCAGUGGUCCAGUAGAUAAAUCGAUGGAGUGAGUUUACACAGCAACAUGAUUGGAAAAUGAACUUUUUUAGAAUUGUUUUAGAAGUGUUAGGAAAAAAAAGGGGGAGUCAGUACUGAUCGUUUGAAAAACCUGUGAUUGGAUACUCAGAACAUUCCCAUGCUGUGACAUCCCAUCAGGCUCCGGAGGCGGUGACGAUGCCAUAGGCUGCUUUAUUGAGAGGAGGCCUCCAAAAAAAACCCAUAAAUGAAUAAAUAAAUUAAUACAUAACACCCUUAAACACUCUCA